Molecule: ribosomal RNA, 432 nt
Filed under: Heteroonops castelloides
Lineage: Eukaryota; Metazoa; Arthropoda; Arachnida; Araneae; Oonopidae
Description: partial large subunit ribosomal RNA
Source: RNAcentral
CACUUUAAGAAAAUAACUUAAAGCUUUUCCUGCUCAAUGAUUAUUAUAUAGCCGCAAAUUUCUGUGCUAAGGUAGCAUAAUAAAUAGUCUACUAAUUGUAGAAUAGAAUGAAAGGAUACACGAAUAUUUUACUAUAUUAAAUUCUUAUUUAAAAUUUACAUUAAAUGUUAAAAUUCAUUUAUCUUAAGAAAGACGAUAAGACCCUAAGAACUUAAACUUAAGUUUAACUGGGGUGGUUAAUAACUAAAUCUUAUUAAUUAUAAAAAAAUUACCUUCACAUUAAUUUCAAAAAGUUACCUUAGGGAUAACAGCACAAUUUUUGUUCAAAGCUCACAUUACAACAAAAGAUUAUGACCUCGAUGUUGAAUUGAAUUAACUUAUUUAAGAAAAAAUAUAUAAAGUAAGUCUGUUCGACUUUUAAAACUUCACAUG